RNAcentral lists this ribosomal RNA (208 nucleotides) under uncultured bacterium. RNAcentral's name for it is "partial 16S ribosomal RNA". It matches the Rfam family "Bacterial small subunit ribosomal RNA", at positions 568 to 774 of the family's 1533-position model. The record is from RNAcentral.
UGCGUAGGCGGUUGGAUAAGUCUGACGUGAAAUCUCCGGGCCUAACCCCGGAAACUGCGUUGGAAACUAUUUGACUAGAGGAUUGGAAGGGAGACUGGAAUACUUGGUGUAGCAGUGAAAUGCGUAGAUAUCAAGUGGAACACCAGUGGCGAAGGCGAGUCUCUGGACAAUUCCUGACGCUGAGGCACGAAAGCCAGGGGAGCAAACG